RNAcentral lists this unclassified non-coding RNA (1459 nucleotides) under Eurytemora carolleeae. RNAcentral describes it as "histone-lysine N-methyltransferase SETD7". The record is from RNAcentral. Lineage: Eukaryota; Metazoa; Arthropoda; Copepoda; Calanoida; Temoridae.
AUAACAAAAUAAUUGUUUACUUAUGUAUUCAGUGGUCGGAAUGUCUGUGAUCUGCCGCUUGUUCUAGAUUCAGAACCCUGUAAAUACUCAGGAGGUCUGGACAAUGACGGAGAAUCUCACGGUCCUGGUACAAUCAACUUUCAGAAAACUGGUACUUUUCAGGGUGUAUUUUCUCAUGGGUUGGAGAACAGAGAAGGGUUUAGGUAUCUACCCGGAGAUAUUGCUAAAAUAUCAGGAACCUGGAUAAGAGGAAAACUAGAGGGAUAUGCUAGAACAGAGAUGCUGACUGGAGAAUGGUUUGAAGGAGUUUAUAAGGACGGAGAGAGACAAGGAUUCUUCAGGGAGUUUGGUAUAGAUAAUCAUUUAAAGGAAUUUACCCGCUAUCAAAGAAACAAAAGGGUUGGAUGGACCUACGAAGGAAAACUAGGAGGGGGAUAUUUGAUAGGCUUGUUGGAUCAUGAUGGAAAGAUGACAGGGGAUAAUAUUAUCUACAUGUAUCCUGACUUCCGAACCGGGCUCAGGGGAAGUUUUCAAGAUGGUGUUAUGAUAUCUGCUCAACUGUCUACCAUUCUAUCUAGUGAGGAGGUGGAUGGAGUAUGUAUACCUGUACUGAGUGAACCUAAAAGUGAAGAUAUUUACUUCUUUGAUCCAGCUACAAGUACGAGAAUAUCUAGACAGCCCUUACUCCAGGAUCCUUGGGAGAGAAGUUUAGUAGAAGUGAAGAUGAGUAAACUAGAUCAGGCUGGACAUGGUCUCUUCGCCAGGGAAGAGAUACCGAAGAAAACAGUGGUAGCUCUGUUUGCAGGGAUACGAUUAAAGGAGCACCAGUUAGCGAAACAUAAGAAAUCUAACUAUAGGAUAAUACUAAACUCAGCUAUUAAUCUUGAUAUUCCUCAGGAUUGUAUUUGUAUAUCAAAUUACUGUGCCACAUUAGCCCAUAAGGCCAACCAUUCUUUUACUCCAAACAGUGAAUGGUCAAUCUUUGAACAUCCAAGAUUUGGACUUAUCCGAGCCAUAUCUGCUAAACAAGAUAUCCAGGUUGGAGAGGAGAUAUUGGUAAACUAUAAUAUAGAACUAUCUACAGCUCCUGAGUGGUAUAGAAUACUCUGGUUAAGGCAUCUAAUGGAAGACAAGCACUGGACUUUACAGGACGUUGAAAGAUUUAUGGACCGACAUUAUGAUCUUUCAUUUAAAAAGAUUCCACUUCCAACCUCACUAAUAUUACAGGUACCUACCCCUUUCGGAGCUUCAACAGAAGAAGAAGAAGAACAAGCGGUAGAGGAAGAAGAAGAAGAAGAAGGAAAAGAAGAAAAAUAUGGAGAACGAAAAGAAAUAGAAGAGAAGUAGGACUAUACAUGAAGUAGAAUCUAGGAAAGGAAAAAGGAUGAAGACUGAAACAAAUUUGUGGCAAAGGAAUUGAGUCUUUGCUACAAACUUAAAUUGUCGCAUCCUAAACUCU